This 568-nucleotide ribosomal RNA is filed under the name uncultured Neisseriaceae bacterium. RNAcentral describes it as "bacterial SSU rRNA". It matches the Rfam family "Bacterial small subunit ribosomal RNA", at positions 812 to 1381 of the family's 1533-position model. Lineage: Bacteria; Pseudomonadati; Pseudomonadota; Betaproteobacteria; Neisseriales; Neisseriaceae. The record is from RNAcentral.
ACAAUUAGCUGUUGGGACACUAGAUGUCUUAGUAGCGAAGCUAACGCGUGAAAUUGUCCGCCUGGGGAGUACGGUCGCAAGAUUAAAACUCAAAGGAAUUGACGGGGACCCGCACAAGCGGUGGAUGAUGUGGAUUAAUUCGAUGCAACGCGAAGAACCUUACCUGGUCUUGACAUGUACGGAAUCUCUUAGAGAUAGGAGAGUGCCUUCGGGAACCGUAACACAGGUGCUGCAUGGCUGUCGUCAGCUCGUGUCGUGAGAUGUUGGGUUAAGUCCCGCAACGAGCGCAACCCUUGUCAUUAGUUGCCAUCAUUAAGUUGGGCACUCUAAUGAGACUGCCGGUGANANNCCGGAGGAAGGUGGGGAUGACGUCAAGUCCUCAUGGCCCUUAUGACCAGGGCUUCACACGUCAUACAAUGGUCGGUACAGAGGGUAGCGAAGCCGCGAGGUGAAGCCAAUCUCAGAAAGCCGAUCGUAGUCCGGAUUGCACUCUGCAACUCGAGUGCAUGAAGUCGGAAUCGCUAGUAAUCGCAGGUCAGCAUACUGCGGUGAAUACGUUCCCGGGUCU